Oncorhynchus tshawytscha (Chinook salmon) is the source of this 823-nucleotide long non-coding RNA. The record is from Ensembl. Lineage: Eukaryota; Metazoa; Chordata; Actinopteri; Salmoniformes; Salmonidae.
GUGUGAUGGAGGAGGUGAUGAUGGGAUGAGAGAGGGUAGAGGUGUGAUGGGAUGGAGGGGUGAUGGGAUGAUGGGAGAGGGGGUAGAGGUGUGUGGAGGGGUGAUGGGAUGAGAGAGGGUAGAGGUGUGUGGAGGGGUGAUGGGAUGAGAGAGGGUAGAGGUGAGAGAGGGUGAGGGGUGAUGGGAUGAGAUGAGGUGUGUGGAGGGUGAUGGGAUGAGAGAGGGUAGAGGUGUGGGAGGGGUGAUGGGAUGAGAGGGGUAGAGGUGGUGGAGGGGUGAUGGGAUGAGAGAGGGUAGAGGUGUGUGGAGGGGUGAUGGGAUGAGAGAGGGGUGUGUGUGGGGGGUGAUGGGAUGAGAGAGGGUAGAGGUGUGUGGAGGGGUGAUGGGGUGAGAGAGGGUAGAGGUGUGUGGAGGGGUGAUGGGAUGAGAGAGGGUAGAGGUUUGUGGAGGGGUGAUGGGGUGAGAGAGGGUAGAGGUGUGUGGAGGGGUGAUGGGAUGAGAGAGCGUAGAGGUGUGUGGAGGGGUGAUGGGAUGAGAGAGGGUAGAGGUGUGUGUAGGGGUGAUGGGAUGAGAGAGGGUAGAGGUGUAUGGAGGGGGGAUGGGAUGAGAGAGGUGGAUGGAGGGGAGAUGGGAUGAGAGAGGGUAGAGGUGUGUGGAGGGGUGAUGGGAUGAGAGAGGUGGUAGAGGUGUGUGGAGGGGUGAUGGGAUGAGAGAGGUGGUAGAGGUGUGUGGAGGGGUGAUGGAUGAGAGAGGGUAGAGGUGUGUGGAGGGGUGAUGGGAUGAGAGAGGGUAGAGUUGUGUGGAGGGGUGAUGGAUGAGAGAG